GGGAUAGCUCAGCUGGCUAGAGCGCCUGCCUUGCACGCAGGAGGUCAUCGGUUCGACUCCGAUAUUCUCCACUAACAGU
Molecule: transfer RNA, 79 nt
Filed under: uncultured Bacteroidota bacterium
Lineage: Bacteria; Pseudomonadati; Bacteroidota
Description: uncultured Bacteroidetes bacterium tRNA-Ala
Rfam family: tRNA (bases 2-71)
About the family: Transfer RNA (tRNA) molecules are approximately 80 nucleotides in length. Their secondary structure includes four short double-helical elements and three loops (D, anti-codon, and T loops).
Source: RNAcentral